AUAUUCACCUGGCAAGGGAUACCAUGAUUAUAAAGGUGAUUUUUCAGAGUGAUAUGUAUCCAUUCCACUCCAGAUGUGCCGACCCCUGCAAUUUCCCCAUGUGUGGGAAACUUGACUGCAUAAUUUGUGGUAUUGGGGGACAGUAUUCAUGCUCUCCCCUG
This is a small nuclear RNA of Suncus etruscus (white-toothed pygmy shrew), 161 nucleotides long. RefSeq annotates it as U1 spliceosomal RNA. The transcript has a single exon. NCBI's taxonomy places the organism in Eukaryota, Metazoa, Chordata, Mammalia, Eulipotyphla, Soricidae. The record is from RefSeq and is a predicted model, not a curated record.